UCCGCAAUGGGCGAAAGCCUGACGGAGCAAUACCGCGUGAGGGAUGACGGCCUAUGGGUUGUAAACCUCUUUUUUCAGGGAGGAAUCAAUGACGUGUACCUGAAGAAUAAGCAUCGGCUAACUCCGUGCCAGCAGCCGCGGUAAGACGGAGGAUGCAAGUGUUAUCCGGAAUCACUGGGCGUAAAGCGUCUGUAGGUGGUCUAAUAAGUCAGCUGUUAAAUCUUGAGGCUCAACCUCAAAAUCGCAGUCGAAACUAUUAGACUAGAGUAUAGUAGGGGUAGAGGGAAUUUCCAGUGGAGCGGUGAAAUGCGUAGAGAUUGGAAAGAACACCGAUGGCGAAGGCACUUUACUGGGCUAUUACUGACACUCAGAGACGAAAGCUAGGGUAGCAAAUGGGAUUAGAUACCCC
Molecule: ribosomal RNA, 409 nt
Filed under: uncultured diatom
Lineage: Eukaryota; Bacillariophyta
Description: bacterial SSU rRNA
Rfam family: Bacterial small subunit ribosomal RNA
Source: RNAcentral